This is a long non-coding RNA of Octopus bimaculoides (California two-spot octopus), 473 nucleotides long. Lineage: Eukaryota; Metazoa; Mollusca; Cephalopoda; Octopoda; Octopodidae. The record is from RefSeq and is a predicted model, not a curated record.
CUUAAUUGCUAUAUUACUGAGGCAAGUUCUGGUUGAAAUGUAUUUUAGCUAGCAUCCCAUGGCAACAGCAGGUUAUAAAGCUAAUAAGAAAAUUCUCACUCCGAUAGCGUCAUGAAUAUACGGACAAAGAACAACUAUCACCUGGACGUACAUUGCGAUGUAUCGAAUCGAAGUUUCCCAUCUACGGUUCAAAUCUUUUGCAGAUACAUUUGCAAUGUAUUUGAGCAGAAUUUUCUAUCCCAGACACAUUAUAUAAAGUCUUCAUUAAAACGCCUUCUUCCAGGAAAAAUAUAACUGAACACAAUAUGAAAUAGCUUUAAGUGUGAGCUACAACACAAGCAGUACGUCCACUGGACUGAAGUCUACCUCCCGCAAUGGUUCAAAAUACUGCAACAUCGAUUUCUAUUCAUAUUUCAAUGCGUCUGCCGAAAACUAACAAACACAAAGAAAUGAAAAUUAGUUAAGUAAACGAA